This is a long non-coding RNA of Lycium ferocissimum, 866 nucleotides long. RefSeq lists it as uncharacterized. The transcript is spliced from 4 exons. The record is from RefSeq and is a predicted model, not a curated record. Lineage: Eukaryota; Viridiplantae; Streptophyta; Magnoliopsida; Solanales; Solanaceae.
AUCAGUUUAUAUCCCAUCAUUUCGUCUAUCAUCACCGCCUUAUAACUCCUCAGGGCAGGGUACACUUGAGCCUCUAGCAACGGUAAUAUUCUCAGGUUAAGGCAAAGCAAGAUGAUUGGUUGUAAUAACUACGUCCACAAAUUGUUGGUUUUGCAGAUGAUUUUAAAAGAAGGUGGAGGAGCUGGUUACUAUAAGCUGGGACAGAAGGUCUAUCUGAUUAGAUUGCACACAACAAUUAAUUUUGGUUAACCAGAUGCGUCUAUCAGUCGUUGUCUGGUGGGGAUGCAUGGUUCGUAGCAUGCGCCUUACGUGCUAGCUGUUGAGAGAGUUUGGGUAUCACAUGAUUCCAAGUAACAACAACAACAACAACAUACCUAGUGCGAUCCCACAAACAACAACAACAUACCCAGUGCGAUCCCACAAAGUGGGGUCUGGAGAAGAUAAAGUGUACGCAGACCUUACCCCGUCCUUGGGAGGUAGAGAGGCUGUUUCCGGUAGACCCUCAGCAUGUCCAGGAUUCCAAGAUUUUGGAGGGCCCCAGAAUCUGUAGAUGAGUUUUUAGAUUCACCCCAAUCAUGAAUAUUGCAGUCAGCUUGCCACAUCAUCUCUCAGACAGUGCUAUUCAAACGCAUCGCUUUGUCGCUUUAAGUGAUUGUUCCUUCAUGGAUGAAGCUAUACGCAUCAGAGAAGUGUGCGCUUCAAACAAUGAGACGCAAAGUGAUCCAAGCGAAAAAUGGAUCUCAAUUUUGUAGAGUUAGAUUAGUAUCGACAUCAUUGUACAUUGGAUGUUUGGAUUAGUUAUUAAUUGCAAUUUGAUUAUUAUCGUAUUAAUUUGUAUAUGUUUUGUAUUUUCAAAUUUUAUGUUA